RNAcentral lists this ribosomal RNA (2311 nucleotides) under Pseudomonas aeruginosa. Its description in RNAcentral is "bacterial LSU rRNA". It matches the Rfam family "Bacterial large subunit ribosomal RNA", at positions 1 to 2343 of the family's 2925-position model. Lineage: Bacteria; Pseudomonadati; Pseudomonadota; Gammaproteobacteria; Pseudomonadales; Pseudomonadaceae. The record is from RNAcentral.
GUUAUAUGGUCAAGUGAAGAAGCGCAUACGGUGGAUGCCUUGGCAGUCAGAGGCGAUGAAAGACGUGGUAGCCUGCGAAAAGCUUCGGGGAGUCGGCAAACAGACUUUGAUCCGGAGAUCUCUGAAUGGGGGAACCCACCUAGGAUAACCUAGGUAUCUUGUACUGAAUCCAUAGGUGCAAGAGGCGAACCAGGGGAACUGAAACAUCUAAGUACCCUGAGGAAAAGAAAUCAACCGAGAUUCCCUUAGUAGUGGCGAGCGAACGGGGAUUAGCCCUUAAGCUUCAUUGAUUUUAGCGGAACGCUCUGGAAAGUGCGGCCAUAGUGGGUGAUAGCCCCGUACGCGAAAGGAUCUUUGAAGUGAAAUCGAGUAGGACGGAGCACGAGAAACUUUGUCUGAACAUGGGGGGACCAUCCUCCAAGGCUAAAUACUACUGACUGACCGAUAGUGAACCAGUACCGUGAGGGAAAGGCGAAAAGAACCCCGGAGAGGGGAGUGAAAUAGAACCUGAAACCGUAUGCGUACAAGCAGUGGGAGCCUACUUGUUAGGUGACUGCGUACCUUUUGUAUAAUGGGUCAGCGACUUAUAUUCAGUGGCAAGCUUAACCGUAUAGGGUAGGCGUAGCGAAAGCGAGUCUUAAUAGGGCGUUUAGUCGCUGGGUAUAGACCCGAAACCGGGCGAUCUAUCCAUGAGCAGGUUGAAGGUUAGGUAACACUGACUGGAGGACCGAACCCACUCCCGUUGAAAAGGUAGGGGAUGACUUGUGGAUCGGAGUGAAAGGCUAAUCAAGCUCGGAGAUAGCUGGUUCUCCUCGAAAGCUAUUUAGGUAGCGCCUCAUGUAUCACUCUGGGGGGUAGAGCACUGUUUCGGCUAGGGGGUCAUCCCGACUUACCAAACCGAUGCAAACUCCGAAUACCCAGAAGUGCCGAGCAUGGGAGACACACGGCGGGUGCUAACGUCCGUCGUGAAAAGGGAAACAACCCAGACCGCCAGCUAAGGUCCCAAAGUUGUGGUUAAGUGGUAAACGAUGUGGGAAGGCUUAGACAGCUAGGAGGUUGGCUUAGAAGCAGCCACCCUUUAAAGAAAGCGUAAUAGCUCACUAGUCGAGUCGGCCUGCGCGGAAGAUGUAACGGGGCUCAAACCACACACCGAAGCUGCGGGUGUCACGUAAGUGACGCGGUAGAGGAGCGUUCUGUAAGCCUGUGAAGGUGAGUUGAGAAGCUUGCUGGAGGUAUCAGAAGUGCGAAUGCUGACAUGAGUAACGACAAUGGGUGUGAAAAACACCCACGCCGAAAGACCAAGGGUUCCUGCGCAACGUUAAUCGACGCAGGGUUAGUCGGUUCCUAAGGCGAGGCUGAAAAGCGUAGUCGAUGGGAAACAGGUUAAUAUUCCUGUACUUCUGGUUACUGCGAUGGAGGGACGGAGAAGGCUAGGCCAGCUUGGCGUUGGUUGUCCAAGUUUAAGGUGGUAGGCUGAAAUCUUAGGUAAAUCCGGGGUUUCAAGGCCGAGAGCUGAUGACGAGUCGUCUUUUAGAUGACGAAGUGGUUGAUGCCAUGCUUCCAAGAAAAGCUUCUAAGCUUCAGGUAACCAGGAACCGUACCCCAAACCGACACAGGUGGUCGGGUAGAGAAUACCAAGGCGCUUGAGAGAACUCGGGUGAAGGAACUAGGCAAAAUGGCACCGUAACUUCGGGAGAAGGUGCGCCGGCUAGGGUGAAGGAUUUACUCCGUAAGCUCUGGCUGGUCGAAGAUACCAGGCCGCUGCGACUGUUUAUUAAAAACACAGCACUCUGCAAACACGAAAGUGGACGUAUAGGGUGUGACGCCUGCCCGGUGCCGGAAGGUUAAUUGAUGGGGUUAGCGCAAGCGAAGCUCUUGAUCGAAGCCCCGGUAAACGGCGGCCGUAACUAUAACGGUCCUAAGGUAGCGAAAUUCCUUGUCGGGUAAGUUCCGACCUGCACGAAUGGCGUAACGAUGGCGGCGCUGUCUCCACCCGAGACUCAGUGAAAUUGAAAUCGCUGUGAAGAUGCAGUGUAUCCGCGGCUAGACGGAAAGACCCCGUGAACCUUUACUGUAGCUUUGCACUGGACUUUGAGCCUGCUUGUGUAGGAUAGGUGGGAGGCUUUGAAGCGUGGACGCCAGUUCGCGUGGAGCCAUCCUUGAAAUACCACCCUGGCAUGCUUGAGGUUCUAACUCUGGUCCGUGAUCCGGAUCGAGGACAGUGUAUGGUGGGCAGUUUGACUGGGGCGGUCUCCUCCUAAAGAGUAACGGAGGAGUACGAAGGUGCGCUCAGACCGGUCGGAAAUCGGUC